CCUACGGGUGGCUGCAGUGAGGAAUAUUGGUCAAUGGCCGGAAGGCUGAACCAGCCAAGCCGCGUGAAAGACGAAGGUGCCAAGCAUUGUAAACUUCUUUUGUCAAGGGACAAAAUCAGGCUCGAGAGCCUGACCGAGGGUACUUGAAGAAAAAGCAUCGGCUAACUCCGUGCCAGCAGCCGCGGUAAUACGUAGGUGGCAAGCGUUAUCCGGAUUUACUGGGUGUAAAGGGCGUGUAGGCGGGAGAGCAAGUCAGACGUGAAAUUCCAGGGCUCAACCCUGGAACUGCGUUUGAAACUGUUCUUCUUGAGUGAUGGAGAGGCAGGCGGAAUUCCGUGUGUAGCGGUGAAAUGCGUAGAUAUACGGAGGAACACCAGUGGCGAAGGCGGCCUGCUGGACAUUAACUGACGCUGAGGCGCGAAAGCGUGGGGAGCAAACAGGAUUAGAUACCCCAGUAGUC
Molecule: ribosomal RNA, 460 nt
Filed under: uncultured bacterium
Lineage: Bacteria
Description: partial 16S ribosomal RNA
Rfam family: Bacterial small subunit ribosomal RNA
Source: RNAcentral